UCAAAAUUACUGCACACGCGAGUGCAUAAAGCAAAAUUUAUGCAUUUAUUUAAUAAUAAAUGCAUAAAUUUUGCUUUAUGCACUCGCGUGUGCAGUAAUUUUGACAGUUAUGC
RNAcentral lists this microRNA precursor (113 nucleotides) under Paramuricea clavata. Lineage: Eukaryota; Metazoa; Cnidaria; Anthozoa; Malacalcyonacea; Plexauridae. The record is from RNAcentral.